AAUAUUUGUCAAUGGGUGCAACCCUGAUCCAGCCAUGCCGCGAGUGUGAAGAAGGUCUUCGGACUGUACAGCACUUUAAGUAGGGAGGAAGGGCUUUAGGUUAAUACCCAGAAGUUUUUACGUUACCAACAGAUUAAGCACCGGCUAACUCUGCGCCAGCAGCCGCGGUAAUACAGCGGGUGCAAGCGUUAAUCGGAAUUACUGGGCGUAAAGCGCGCGUAGGUGGUUCAGUAAGAUGGGUGUGAAAUCCCCGGGCUUAACCUGGGAACUGCUUUCAUAACUGCUGAACUAGAGUACGGCAGAGGGUAGUGGAAUUUCCUGUGUAGCGGUGAAAUGCGUAGAUAUAGGAAGGAACACCAGUGGCGAAGGCGACUACCUGGACUGAUACUGACACUGAGGUGCGAAAGCGUGGGGAGCAAAC
This 421-nucleotide ribosomal RNA is filed under the name uncultured bacterium. Its description in RNAcentral is "partial 16S ribosomal RNA". It matches the Rfam family "Bacterial small subunit ribosomal RNA", at positions 360 to 773 of the family's 1533-position model. The record is from RNAcentral.